This is a long non-coding RNA of Herpailurus yagouaroundi (jaguarundi), 1796 nucleotides long. RefSeq lists it as uncharacterized. The record is from RefSeq and is a predicted model, not a curated record. The transcript has 2 exons. Lineage: Eukaryota; Metazoa; Chordata; Mammalia; Carnivora; Felidae.
GUUGGAUUUUUGGAAAUACUAUUUUUCAGAGCGUUGUACCCAGCACUUUACAUAUAUUGAUCUCUGUAUAGGAGAAUCUCUGCUUCGUAUGUUGCACGCGCUGCAGGCUGGGCCUUGAUGGUCAGGUGGGCCCCCGGCUGCGGGUUUCUGGGGUCCGGCUGAGCCCAGCUCCCCGCCUCCCUCCCUUUUUGCAAGGGUACAGGAGUCCCGUGACUCCCAGAGCCAGGCCCUACCCUCUGCUCACUGUCCAGCCCCUGAAGCUUUCCAUGUUGAUGUAGAGCCUCCAGGACCAGGUGUCCCAGAGGGAAUGACAGCUGAGCUGAGCAGGAAUUGGGCAGGGGCUGUGGGUGUGGACUGACGUGCCUGAGCUGGGGACAGCAUGUGCGAGGGCCUAGAGGCCAAGAGAGCAGGUCCUGUGAGGUUCUGGGAAAGAGGUCCUCUGUGCAGUUGGCAUAUAGGGCCUUGCGAACUCCUGCGUGGGGCAGAGGAUGGGAAGGCUUGCUGUGCUGGCGUGGGGGAGGCGUGAUCCAGGCUGUGCUCCCGCUUCUCCCGCGUCCCCUCCUUGAAUAUCCUUGUGACACCUCCCCCCCCAGAACUGGCGUACCCAGGCCUGGGCUUGUCCGUCUUCCCUGAUGAGUAGCAGGCACCAAGUCCCCCGCUCCUGCUUUCCUCUCCUCUGCCAGGAAGCCUCUGGUGCCUCAGGCCCCUGUUCCCCGCCUCCCUCCACCCUGUCUUCUGGUGGUGUUAGAUGUGCCUUCCUCCGGGCCUGACCUGGGUCCGGCCCUUGGUGUGGGAUCCCAGGUGUUCCCCUGGCCCAGUCCCCAGAGGGUGACUGGGUGGCUGUGGCGCCCAGUGGGGUAAGCGCUCUUGCCCCAGCUAAUGGAGCUGGCUUCCGUAGGAAGGUUCUGAAGAAGAUUGUUAACGGAUGUGCCGCCAUCCUUCAGGACAAGUGGACUGAUGGACAAGCCUGGUCCGUGCCCUAAGGAGCCUCGAGGCCCGGGAGGAUGGCCAGGCCGUUCGGCCCCGGGGAGUUCCGCUGGGCUAUGAAAUCCAAGCUGCGUGGCUCGGGCUGGAGGGCCACGAUGUCCUGCCAGGAGGAGACGGCUAAAGGCUCUACGCCCAAUGUGGGGCUUGAACUCACGACCUCGAGAUCAAGAGUCUCAUGCUCUUCCCACCGAGCCGGCCAGGUGCCCUGAGACGCACAGACUUUAAAUGUAUAGUCUGAGGAGUUCUGACAGAUGUCUACACAUGUAACCACCACCUUGAUCAGGACAGAGGUGAAGACCGAGAUUUCUGUCUUAAGUGAUUUUUAAAAAGAAUUUCUGCUUAUAGAAUUCACACCGGAGGCAGAGCACUGGGACUGCAGAGAAAUCCAGGGCAGGGCCUGGCAGGGUUUCCUCACGGAAACAUUGUCCUGCUCGCCCUCCGUUGUCUGGCUGCCAAAAAAGGGGGCCAGCUGCCUGCCACCAGCCCACCGACCAACCACUACGAGCAUGUGGGUGUAUUUUCUUCCAGUUUUUUCUAUGCAUGUAUAUAAAUAUAUUAAAAUUAUUUUCUAUGCAUAUUUUUUACAUACAUGACAUCAGAUCGCUUAAAUAAGUACUUUUAAACUUACUGUAGUCUAAGCACUUUCCUAUAUUGUAAAAUGCUUUGAAAAUGACUUCUCAGGAGCCUUUGGUGUUUACCUGGUGAUAUCUGAUUCAGCUAAUGUUGACAGCAUAAGGAGUUAAUGUUGGCACUUUUUAAAAUGUGAAUUUUAUUUAUUUUGAAAUAAAUAAUACAUUUACAUGGCUUGA